CACGCCCUAAACGAUGUCGACUAGUUGUUCGGGAAGGUGACUUCUUGAGUAACGUAGCUAACGCGUGAAGUCGACCGCCUGGGGAGUACGGCCGCAAGGUUAAAACUCAAAGGAAUUGACGGGGACCCGCACAAGCGGUGGAUGAUGUGGUUUAAUUCGAUGCAACGCGAAAAACCUUACCCACCUUUGACAUGGUCGGAACCCUUUAGAGAUAGAGGGGUGCUCGAAAGAGAGCCGAUACACAGGUGC
This 249-nucleotide ribosomal RNA is filed under the name uncultured bacterium. Its description in RNAcentral is "partial 16S ribosomal RNA". It matches the Rfam family "Bacterial small subunit ribosomal RNA", at positions 796 to 1041 of the family's 1533-position model. The record is from RNAcentral.